GUCAUAGAGAAUAGUGGACAUGGCAUCUGCCCGGUAAGCGGAACACUGUGGGUUCGAUUCCCAUCCCUGGACA
Non-coding RNA from Cordylochernes scorpioides, 73 nucleotides. The record is from the annotation of a GenBank genome assembly. NCBI's taxonomy places the organism in Eukaryota, Metazoa, Arthropoda, Arachnida, Pseudoscorpiones, Chernetidae.